UAAAAAGCGAUACAAAAGAGAAGUAACUUUAGAUAGACUUUGCAGAGAGCUGAUGGUGGUGAGAAUCGGUAAGUCAAUAGAGCGAAAUGGACUUUUGUGCUGAAAGACUGAAAAUAGUAGGUUUUUUCCGGGAACUCCCGUUAACGAGGAAGAGUAUUAUGUGAUACUUGAGAGAGAAAAUGAGAGAGAAACUUUCAUUCAUUGAGGUGGCACCGUGAAUUCAUCGCCCUCAAC
RNAcentral lists this non-coding RNA (234 nucleotides) under Enterococcus aquimarinus. Its description in RNAcentral is "T-box sequence". It matches the Rfam family "T-box leader". Rfam says of the family: Uncharged tRNA acts as the effector for transcription antitermination of genes in the T-box leader family. T-boxes are found upstream of many aminoacyl-tRNA synthetase genes and some amino acid biosynthetic genes usually in Gram-positive bacteria. The anticodon of a specific tRNA base pairs to a specifier sequence within the T-box motif, and the NCCA acceptor tail of the tRNA base pairs to a conserved bulge in the T-box antiterminator hairpin. The record is from RNAcentral. Lineage: Bacteria; Bacillati; Bacillota; Bacilli; Lactobacillales; Enterococcaceae.